Molecule: ribosomal RNA, 301 nt
Filed under: uncultured bacterium
Lineage: Bacteria
Description: partial 16S ribosomal RNA
Rfam family: Bacterial small subunit ribosomal RNA
Source: RNAcentral
CAGUAGCCGCGGGAAUACGAAGGGUGCAAGCGUUACUCGGAAUUACUGGGCGUAAAGCGUGCGUAGGCGGCUUCUUAAGUCGGAUGUGAAAUCCCUGAGCUUAACUUAGGAAUUGCAUUCGAUACUGGGAAGCUAGAGUAUGGGAGAGGAUGGUAGAAUUCCAGGUGUAGCGGUGAAAUGCGUAGAGAUCUGGAGGAAUACCGAUGGCGAAGGCAGCCAUCUGGCCUAAUACUGACGCUGAGGUACGAAAGCAUGGGGAGCAAACAGGAUUAGAUACCCCCGUAGUCCCUGUCUCUUAUAC